CUCUGAGUGCAAUAUCAGGUCUUACUGUCCCUGCCCAGCCUCCCCUGAGGCCUUCCCCACUACUACGUAUGGACACAGGAGCUCAUCUCUGCUCAGCCUGGUCCCUGUAGGAGCCUGGGCUCAACCCCUGGACCUGGACCUUGGACCCAGGCUGCAGCCAUGUCCCCAGCCCUAUCUCUGUCACCAUCUCGUGCUGCUGGAGACCCUGGCCCUGAAAUCUCACCACCAAUAUGUUACUGUUGAAUUUCAAUCAACAUCUUUUUCGUCUUACUUUGCAGAAUUUUGGCAUCCCAGAGAUUCAGUCAGCCCUACCUUGCAAGGAAAAAAAAAAAUGUUUUUUCCACAGCAGUAGAGAUCUCAUUGCAGUACAGGUCAGUCAAACUCUGGAUGGACAUCCUCCCUCAAUCUUCAGUCUGUUAAACAGGUGGAAUUUCUCAUGUUCCAACUUAAAAUCCUAGAACUGCACAAAAAUCUGGUUUGGAAAGGAACCUCUUCAUGGAAGGAAACCUCUUGGAGAGGACAUUCUUCAACUCCCUCUUCAAAAGAAGGUUUUAGAUUAGAUUAUCCAGUGUGUUGUCAAGGUGAGCCUCAGGUAACAAGGGAGAUUCCUCCACUUUUCUGGGCAACUUAUUAAGUUGUUCUCACAGAGAAAUAUUUUUUUUUUUCUAAAUCAAGAUGGAAAUUGCUUUUUGCUUAUCACAUUACUGCACACCUUCAAGACUCUGGCUCAUCUCUUCUACACUUUUCUACAUCGGCAUCUGUAGAUAGCAGUAAGACCCCCUCUGAUAUUCUUUUCCCCAGACUGAACAAACUCAUUCUCUCAGUCUCAUCAUAUGUCAAGUACUCCAGCUCCAGCACCUGUCAUCUCAGUAGCCCUUCCCUGGACUCGCUCCAGUAGGCCAAUGUCUUUCUUGUACUGGGGAGUCCAGACAGGGGCACAAUACUUUAGAUUGGGUCUCAUGAGUGCCAA
RNAcentral lists this long non-coding RNA (970 nucleotides) under Anas platyrhynchos platyrhynchos (common mallard). Its description in RNAcentral is "lncRNA (ENSAPLG00000025106.1)". The record is from RNAcentral. Lineage: Eukaryota; Metazoa; Chordata; Aves; Anseriformes; Anatidae.